CGGGGUGUAGCGCAGCCUGGUAGCGCGUUUGCUUCGGGAGCAAAAGGUCGCUGGUUCGAAUCCAGUCACCCCGACCA
RNAcentral lists this transfer RNA (77 nucleotides) under Pseudobdellovibrionaceae bacterium. Its description in RNAcentral is "Bdellovibrionaceae bacterium tRNA-Pro". It matches the Rfam family "tRNA". From Rfam's summary of the family: Transfer RNA (tRNA) molecules are approximately 80 nucleotides in length. Their secondary structure includes four short double-helical elements and three loops (D, anti-codon, and T loops). Lineage: Bacteria; Pseudomonadati; Bdellovibrionota; Bdellovibrionia; Bdellovibrionales; Pseudobdellovibrionaceae. RNAcentral also lists the same sequence under 1 other name. The record is from RNAcentral.